This is a small nucleolar RNA of Lathyrus oleraceus (garden pea), 106 nucleotides long. Lineage: Eukaryota; Viridiplantae; Streptophyta; Magnoliopsida; Fabales; Fabaceae. The record is from RefSeq and is a predicted model, not a curated record.
AAACCAUGAUUUGGACAUUUCUGUAGCAUGGAUUUAUAACUUUCCCAAGCUUCACAUAAAGUUUCAUUUGUGGAUUGAGCAAAUGCGGAAAUAGCUGUUUUAGCAU